UUUCCAGACUCCUACGGGAGGCAGCAGUGAGGAAUAUUGGUCAAUGGGCGCGAGCCUGAACCAGCCAAGUAGCGUGAAGGAUGACUGCCCUACGGGUUGUAAACUUCUUUUAUAAAGGAAUAAAGUGAGGCACGUGUGCCUUUUUGUAUGUACCAUAUGAAUAAGCAUCGGCUAACUCCGUGCCAGCAGCCGCGGUAAUACGGAGGAUGCGAGCGUUAUCCGGAUUUAUUGGGUUUAAAGGGUGCGUAGGUGGUUAAUUAAGUCAGCGGUGAAAGUUUGUGGCUCAACCAUAAAAUUGCCGUUGAAACUGGUUGACUUGAGUAUAUUGGAGGUAGGCGGAAUGCGUGGUGUAGCGGUGAAAAGCAUAGAUAUCACGCAGAACACCGAUUGCGAAGGCAGCUUA
RNAcentral lists this ribosomal RNA (403 nucleotides) under uncultured bacterium. RNAcentral's name for it is "bacterial SSU rRNA". It matches the Rfam family "Bacterial small subunit ribosomal RNA", at positions 328 to 728 of the family's 1533-position model. The record is from RNAcentral.